CUGGCCUUGACAUCCUGCGAACUUUCUAGAGAUAGAUUGGUGCCUUCGGGAACGCAGUGACAGGUGCUGCAUGGCCGUCGUCAGCUCGUGUCGUGAGAUGUUGGGUUAAGUCCCGUAACGAGCGCAACCCCUAUCCCUAGUUGCUAGCAGUUCGGCUGAGAACUCUAGGGAGACUGCCGGUGACAAACCGGAGGAAGGUGGGGAUGACGUCAGGUCAUCAUGGCCCUUACGGCCAGGGCUACACACGUGCUACAAUGGUGCGUACAGAGGGCUGCAAACCCGCGAGGGGGAGCUAAUCUCACAAAACGCAUCGUAGUCCGGAUCGGAGUCUGCAACUCGACUCCGUGAAGUCGGAAUCGCUAGAAAGCGCGAAUCAGAAUGUCGCGGUGAAUACGUUCCC
Molecule: ribosomal RNA, 400 nt
Filed under: uncultured bacterium
Lineage: Bacteria
Description: bacterial SSU rRNA
Rfam family: Bacterial small subunit ribosomal RNA
Source: RNAcentral